AAGAAAUUCAAAGAUUAAAAAAUAAGGAGUGAACAUGGUCAAUGACGUAAUUCCCAUUUACCAUAGCUUGAACUUGCUUCAUCAAUAUAAAUCAUUUCCCGAAAUUCUCUUAUAACACUUAGCUAUAAAAGGGUGUCUUAAUUUGAAAUAACCUCAUUACAAGACCAAAUACACUUACCCACAUGUGUUCUAAAUAUUGUCGCGUCUACAAGUAAUUCAAUUAGAACAACCAGGAACCACAAUACUAAAAAACCUUAAUUGUAAACCUUAAAAUAAUCAAAUUCAACAAUUAGAAUAAAUUAGAACAAAUUAUAUAAAAUUGAUAUAGGGAAAGUGUGAAAUAUACCUUUUAAGUGUUUAAUGUGGGUGGUGAUAGUGACGAGUGGUGGCAGUGGCAACCGAAAUAGGAAAAGAAAGCCACAGAUGGAGGCAUUGUCGUAGUGGGGAGAGCGGGGGGGGUGGGUAUUGGCAGAGAUAGUGUCUUAGGCGGCAGGAAAAGAGAGAAAGUUGGGCAAUGAGGGGUUUCAGUUGUGGCUGAGGGAAGAGAAUGAGAUGAGAGGGAAAAAUAGAAAAGAAACUAG
Molecule: long non-coding RNA, 581 nt
Filed under: Populus trichocarpa (black cottonwood)
Lineage: Eukaryota; Viridiplantae; Streptophyta; Magnoliopsida; Malpighiales; Salicaceae
Description: long non-coding RNA (PTRI_LNC004512)
Source: RNAcentral